GCAAAGAAUAAGGUUUCAUCAAGAAGCAUGAGGACCUGGUGUAGUGAUGUGUGAUGAUGCUCGAGGUUCCAGUAUUAAAACAUAGAUUACAGAUGAUUUGUGAAGAUGCUUGAGAUUCCACCAUUAAAACAGAUGAUGUGUGAAGAUGCUCGAGGUUCCAGUAUUAAAACAUAGGUUACAGAUGAUGUGUGAAGAUGCUUGAGAUUCCACCAUUAAAACAGAUGAUGUAUGAAGAUGCUCGAGGUUCCAGUAUUAAAACAUAGGUUACAGAUGAUGAUGUGUGAAGAUGCUCGAGGUUCCAGUAUUAAAACAUAGAGUACAGAUGAUGUGUGAUGAUGAUCGAGGUUCCAGUAUUAAAACAUAGGUAACAGAUGAUGAUGUGUGAUGAUACUCGAAGUUCCAGUAUUAAAAUAUAGAUUACAGAUGAUGUGUGAAGAUGCUUGAGGUUUCACCAUUAAAACAUAGAGUACAGAUGAUGUGUGAAGAUGCUCGAGGUUACACUAACAAAAAUGAAGUUCAAGUGAUGUGUAGAGAUGCUUGAUGUUCCAGCAUGAAACAUGAAAUACAGAUGGUAUGUAAGGAUGCUCGAGGUUCCAACGUGAAACAUGAAAUACAGAUGGUAUAUAAGGAUGUUCGAGGUUCCAACGUGAAACAUGAAAUGCAGAUGGUAUAUAAGGAUGUUCGAGGUUCCAGCGUGAAACAUGAAGUUCAAGUGAUGUGUAAAGAGAAAGAUGCUUGA
Molecule: long non-coding RNA, 739 nt
Organism: Limulus polyphemus (Atlantic horseshoe crab)
Lineage: Eukaryota; Metazoa; Arthropoda; Merostomata; Xiphosura; Limulidae
Exons: 2
Source: RefSeq, a predicted model, not a curated record